This 253-nucleotide ribosomal RNA is filed under the name uncultured bacterium. RNAcentral's name for it is "partial 16S ribosomal RNA". It matches the Rfam family "Bacterial small subunit ribosomal RNA", at positions 524 to 776 of the family's 1533-position model. The record is from RNAcentral.
UACGUAGGGUGCAAGCGUUGUCCGGAAUUAUUGGGCGUAAAGAGCUCGUAGGCGGUCUGUCGCGUCUGCUGUGAAAACUCAGGGCUUAACCCUGAGCUUGCAGUGGGUACGGGCAGACUAGAGUGCGGUAGGGGAGACUGGAAUUCCUGGUGUAGCGGUGAAAUGCGUAGAUAUCUGGAGGAAUACCGGUGGCGAAGGCGGCAUCCUGGACCGACAUUGACGCUGAGGAGCGAAAGCCAGGGGAGCAAACGGG